CGCUUACCACUUUGUGAUUCAUGACUGGGGUGAAGUCGUAACAAGGUAACCGUAGGGGAACCUGCGGUUGGAUCACCUCCUUACCUUAAAGAAGC
RNAcentral lists this ribosomal RNA (95 nucleotides) under Escherichia coli. RNAcentral describes it as "partial 16S ribosomal RNA". The stretch from base 1 to 83 matches the Rfam family "Bacterial small subunit ribosomal RNA", at positions 1451 to 1533 of the family's 1533-position model. Lineage: Bacteria; Pseudomonadati; Pseudomonadota; Gammaproteobacteria; Enterobacterales; Enterobacteriaceae. RNAcentral also lists the same sequence under 24 other names. The record is from RNAcentral.